CAAGUAUAAAUACACCGUGCAGGAUGUGGCGGUCUGUGUUUCCGCAGUGAAUUGUUGCUUUCCUGGACACAAUCUUACAUUUCUUGUCGAAAUGAAGAGCUGGAUGAUGAUUAUCCUCUUCGGGCUAGUAGUCGCUGCUGUAAGCUCGGUGAGUGCACAGCAGACCUUACCCCGUUUUUGUCCCUGUUUCGUGAACCCAUGUGAUGUUGCGACCUGCCCUAACUAUCCCACCGCAAGAUGCAGAGCGACCUACGAGUGCCGCCCCAGACCAUGUCUUGCCAGGUUUUAUUACCAGAAUGUCGAAGUGACAAACCUGUGCUCCAUCCGUCGCUACCAACCCUUACCUAAAAAACUGUUCUGUAUGUUUUCACAUGAUAUAACAAAGAUUAACCGAUUGACUGACGAA
Pomacea canaliculata is the source of this 406-nucleotide long non-coding RNA. RefSeq lists it as uncharacterized. The record is from RefSeq and is a predicted model, not a curated record. NCBI's taxonomy places the organism in Eukaryota, Metazoa, Mollusca, Gastropoda, Architaenioglossa, Ampullariidae. The transcript has 3 exons.